Molecule: ribosomal RNA, 389 nt
Filed under: uncultured organism
Description: bacterial SSU rRNA
Rfam family: Bacterial small subunit ribosomal RNA
Source: RNAcentral
UGCUUAACACAUGCAAGUCGAACGAUGAAGCAGGGCUUGCUCUGCGGAUUAGUGGCGAACGGGUGAGGAACACGUGAGAAACCUGCCCCAGACUCUGGGAUAACAAUUAGAAAUGAUUGCUAAUACCGGAUGACGUCGGCGAAUCGCAUGAUUCACUGACGAAAGGAAAUCCGGUUUGGGAGGGUCUCGCGACCUAUCAGCUUGUUGGCGGGGUAAUGGCCCACCAAGGCGUCGACGGGUAGCUGGUCUGAGAGGAUGAUCAGCCACAUUGGGACUGAGACACUGCCCAGACUCCUACGGGAGGCUGCAGUCGAGGAUCUUUAGCAAUGCCCGAAAGGGUGGCUAUGCGACGCCGCGUGCAGGAUGAAGGCCUUCGGGUUGUAAACUGA